This 440-nucleotide ribosomal RNA is filed under the name uncultured bacterium. RNAcentral describes it as "partial 16S ribosomal RNA". It matches the Rfam family "Bacterial small subunit ribosomal RNA", at positions 338 to 795 of the family's 1533-position model. The record is from RNAcentral.
CCUACUGGAGGCAGCAGUGGGGAAUAUUGCACAAUGGGGGAAACCCUGAUGCAGCAACGCCGCGUGAGUGAAGAAGUAUUUCGGUAUUUAAAGCUCUAUCAGCAGGGAAGAAGAUGACGGUACCUGAAUAAGAAGCCCCGGCUCACUACGUACCAGCAGCCGCGGUAAUACGUAGGGGGCAAGCGUUAUCCGGAUUUACUGGGGGUAAAGGGAGCGCAGACGGCAGUGGAAGUCUGGAGGGAAAGCCCGGGGCCCAACCCCGGAACUGCGCUGGAAACUGGGCGGCUAGAGUAUUGGAGGGGCAGGCGGAAUUCAUGGUGUAGCGGUGAAAUGCGUAGAUAUUAGGAGGAACACCAGUGGCGAAGGCGGCCUGCUGGACAGUAACUGACGUUGAGGCUCGAAAGCGUGGGGAGCAAACAGGAUUAGAUACCCGAGUAGUC